Molecule: non-coding RNA, 224 nt
Organism: Caenorhabditis elegans
Lineage: Eukaryota; Metazoa; Nematoda; Chromadorea; Rhabditida; Rhabditidae
Source: Ensembl
GAAAAUGGAAAUGAGUGAAAUCAAAAGCAAAGAUGACAAGAGAGAUGCGCCGGGACACAAGUAAUGGGCGAUCCGAAAACGAUAGCUUAAGGAUAUCCAACAUAACAUCUAUGGCGCGAAUGAGACAAAAUGGGCCUUAUCUCAUCUGUAGGUCAACUUAUUAGUGAAGCGAGACAGAAGCGCCGCGCGUAAUGAUACAUAUACUUGAAGAUUCGAUAAUGGCU